Cervus elaphus (red deer) is the source of this 4228-nucleotide RNA transcript. RefSeq lists it as uncharacterized. The transcript has 3 exons. The record is from RefSeq and is a predicted model, not a curated record. NCBI's taxonomy places the organism in Eukaryota, Metazoa, Chordata, Mammalia, Artiodactyla, Cervidae.
GCUGCUGCCCUCGUCUCCGCCAUGGUUUUUCCAGAACUUAUGCAGGAGUUGCCAGCCCCACCGAGGCUAUAGGAAGGACCGGAGAGAAAAAACCUGAAGCUUUAAAUCUACUCGUUGCCCAGUUAUUUCAAGAUUGUGUUCAAAAUGCAGAGGAGCCAGGAAGGAGCUCGGGCGGCCGCGUGGCUGGAUGGCAUGGGGACCUUAUGGCGCGGGCAGGCAGAUUUUACAAUAAGAGAGAUCAGAUCGUUGGACCAGAAUGCACCUCAGAUUUCUACUCUUUGCAUCACCAGUAACUAACUUAGGCCACCUGAUGGGAAGAACUGACUCAUUGGAAAAGACACUGAUGCUGGGAAAGAUUGAAGGCAAGAGAAGGGGACGACAGAGGAUGAGAUGGUUGGAUGGCAUCACCAACUCGAUGGACAUGAGUUUAAGCAAACUCCAGAAAUUGGUGACGGACGGGGAAGCCUGGCUUGCUGCAGUCCAUGGGGUCGCAAAGAGUCGGACAUGAUUGAGCAACUGAACUGUGCCAUGCAGCAGGGAGAGUCCUUCAGUCCUUUGGUGCCUCAGUUUCUCUCCUAAAAAGGCAAAGGUUGACAGGAUAGUCUCAAUUAUGUCCCCUUUGGAGUUAAUAUUCUAGAUGCUUCUGCUUUGGGGAUGCUAGCUACACAACUGGUUUGCAUCUCAGACAAAUUGUAUUUACUAAAUCAUGACAUGUGUAACUGCUUCCUAAAAAGCAGAUUUUCUAGAGAAAAAUAGAAGUAGAGAGAUUCAUUGCCAAAGCUGCAUAACAUGGUAAUUGUGGAACAAACAGUUACAGGAACAGCUUUUUAUUUUAAAACAAGCUUGGCAUUUUCAUUUGUUUGGGGCUUUCUCAGUGGUAAUGAGGAUGGCCCUUGCCAAUUAGUUCUCGCUCCCAGAGUCCCUGGAUGAGCUGCUUCUGUGAGAGAGAGAUUGGUCUUAAGAACCCAAGGCAGCCGGGAAGAAAGAUAUUGAUGCUGCAGCGCCUAGCAGUCUUUCAAAGAGGACGGAUGGAGGUGGGUAGCUAGAGAGGGGAAGACCCUGAUGAGGAGAAAAAGAAAUUAAUUUAGAUGGGAGCCCCGGAGACUGGACAGAGUUUAAAUAGUCUAACAGUGGUUGGUUUAUUAUGCAACCAGUAGUAGUCUGCUUCUGAAAGAAGUAUCCAUUCUUUCUUCUGUUUGGAGUCUUUCUCUUUGCCUCUAUCCCUCCUUAACUCUUUCUCCACCCCCACCUUCUCUUCUUAGCGUGUCCUUUCAUGAUGAGGUUAAUUUGUUUACCCGGAAAAGGGGAAGAAUGAGAGUUUGCAUACUGGUGAGAACAGGCUUCCUCUCUCAGAGCUACAAACAUUAAACUCUCCACUCUGCCCUGGGGAGGCUGUGAGCAACAAAAGAUGAUAUCUCAUUUUAAGAUGAAAGGCAAGAUUCUGAGAUCUUCAAAACUCCCAGCUAAUCAAAAUCCUGCUGAAGUGAAGGAAAGGGGGUGUGUGUGUGUGUGUGUGUGUGUUGACCCGCCACCCUGCGGGGUGGACAGUCUCUGAAAUGAACCCAUACAAUAAGCUCUGAUGAGCUCUGGUGUGGGGACGGAUGCCAAGGUGAUGGAGAGUAGGAGGAAGCAUACAGGAACCCUGCUGCAGCCAAGAGGUGUCUUAAAGUAGGGCAGACAGUCUGAGAAGAAUAUAUUUUUCAAGUAGUACAAUUUUGAUACUGCGAAGAUCAUAUUCCCAAGUUAGGGAAUUUGGAAACCUCAGUUCUCCCCCAAGAUCUGUUCCCUAUUAGCGUGUAGUCCUGAGCAAGCUACUUAACCUUUCUGAAUCUAAGUUUCCUAAAAUAAAAUGGACACACUCAUUAUUUCUCACUUUUUUUUUUUUGAGAAUAUGAAUUAGAUCAUCUUUGUACUAAUGCUGAGAUCUGUGUCAUGAUAUGACUUUUGAGCAUUCAGUUGCCAUCUGUACAAUGGGAAUAGUGAUACUUGGAGGGAUUUCAUGAGAAUUUAAUGAGAUAAGAAAGCCAGGCCUAGAAAAAUGCCCAAUACUUUUUUUUCUCUCCUCUUUCUUUGGAUGCUGGUUAUCUUGAGUAUUUGGGAAAUAAUAACUUAGUCUGUAUUAUUACUUUUGUUAUGAGCAUAAAAGUAUAAUUAAAGCUUUGAACUUGUUGGACAUCACAACAUGUGUUCCAAAGAAAACUGGAAAAGCAUUUUGUGUGAUUUCCUGUAUUUUAAAUUAUCAGUUGGCCAUUGAUAUUGCUAACUCAGAGCUGAUUCUAUAUUUGCAGCAUGGGAAAAAAAGGAUGCAAGUAUAAGAUCAUAUCAGCUGACAUUAUGAUAAACUGGUACCCUGUGGGCACGGACCAGUUAGAACAGAUACCCAUCCUAGUGCUGGAGCGAGGCCUCUGAGUCUCACUACUGUGACAUCCUAGACAUUAACCCUUGAAUUGCUGGACCCUGGGGAGUUUGGGGGAGGGGGCUGGGACAGGGUCUGGGGAAAAUAGGAAGUCCUUGAAGGACCUUGGGGAAGUGACUUUAUAAAUAUGAAGUUUUUGAUAUUUAAAAGGUAGAAGGCCAAACCAAUGCAGACAGAGUGUCCCUACUUAUCUAGAACUCAACAACAAUAUCAUGCAAACAAAUUAAAAUGUCCUUAAACCACCCAUUUUCCACCCAAACACGAACUCUGAAUCCCUUGUAAUAUUUAUUGGCAAGUUUCUAAAAUGGGCUUUUGUCACUGAACCUUACUCUCUUGGUGAGUCAACAGAAUGGGGUCAAAACUGGGGCAACUCAUUAGAUGUGCUCCAGAAUAGGCAUAGAACAAGGGGCUUGUGCUAAGGAAUGUGUACCUUACUCUUGACACUUUCCUACUAACUAGGGUUCUGUUUUCAUAAGUAGUUCUGUGAAAUCUGAGCGUAACAAUCAUUCUACAUUACAGGGUUUUACUUAGUUAAUUAUGCUCAGAACCUAGGACCUUGAUUGAAAUCAGGAUGUGACAGGAAGAAAAGAGAUUAUUUCAAAGGAUGGUUUAGAAGAGGGCAGACAUGAUGGAGCACUGCACUAGGACAUUUGGAAAUCCACAAGAAACUCUUCCUGAAGUUACUGGCUGCCUUGGAGUCAGGAAGAAAGGAUUCCGAAGAAGGGGGAGGCAUCAAGUCUGUCUCCCAGGUGGCUGACCCUAUGCACACAUACUUUGCUUUGGGCAUGUGUAGCAUCAGGUGCUUAUACCUGAUGCUUAUAGCCUAUUUCACCAGGCUCCAGGAUGAAGAGGAGACUGGUCACAUACAUGGAAGUUCUUGAUGAACCCACAGCUCUUCUGGGCAGUGCUAUCUGCAAACACAGAAGAAAUAAUGGAAUUGUAUCACCAAGUGAUACUUUCCCUUAAUUUCAAAGACAGUCAUGAACUCACCUGUGGCCCAUUAAAAAAUGUGAGCCAGGACCUGAAUUUGGGGGAAAGUCACUUGAAGGGAAGGGCAGCUGAGAGACAAAGAAGGCAAAGUCACUAGAGUCCUACAUAUAGUUCCAAUGGGGAUCUAUUGGAAGGUCAAUGGUGAUUCAUCACCACCAGUUCCUAAACCACUCUAAUGGCUCACUUGGAGGCAGGCCUUCAUGCAGAAAGUUUGCUCAGCAAGAGAUAGCUGCUAGGAUCACAGCUCAAGGCACAAAGCUUCCAGCUGAAGCCCUUAGUAAAGAUAGAUCCUGGUUUCAUUUUGCAGCCUAAGUAAACUGUCAUUAAUAAUAGUGUUUAUAUUUUUAACAUUCUAUUAUGCUAUCUUUUUUCUUUAUCCAAAAUUCCUGAAAAACAGAAUAUUCUGGUUAAUGGAGUCUUUUUUUUUUUUUAGUUAAAAAAAUUGCCUUUUGUACUACAAAGAGAGCAAUAGUUACAUUGAGUUGAAAUGUAGUAAAAUAUACUUAACAGUACAGUAGUUCUUUUAUGAUUUAAGAAGCCCUUAACAAACUCAUAUUAUUACCUAAAGCUCAUCCAGGGCACCAAGUCCGGGUAUCAAAUGUUGGUCUCAAUCUGAUGUCACCAUAGAAAUAUACUUGAGGAAUUGAGUUAAUUUUUAAAUGGAAUAUUUUUUUUUCACAAUUUCCUCAAACCAAGAAUGCAAAGACUGCAUCAGUUCAGUUCAGUUGCUCAGUCGUGUCCGACUCUUUGUGACCCUAGGGACUGCAGCACACCAGGUUUCCCUGUCCAUCACCAACUCCCAGAGCUUACUCAAACUCAUGU